GCCAGGGUAGCUCAGUGGUAGAGCAGCGGACUCAUAAGCCGUUGGUCGCGAGUUCAACUCUCGCCCCUGGUA
RNAcentral lists this transfer RNA (72 nucleotides) under Candidatus Peregrinibacteria bacterium. RNAcentral's name for it is "tRNA-Met". It matches the Rfam family "tRNA". From Rfam's summary of the family: Transfer RNA (tRNA) molecules are approximately 80 nucleotides in length. Their secondary structure includes four short double-helical elements and three loops (D, anti-codon, and T loops). RNAcentral also lists the same sequence under 1 other name. Lineage: Bacteria; Candidatus Peregrinibacteriota. The record is from RNAcentral.